Molecule: RNA transcript, 4886 nt
Organism: Schistocerca piceifrons (Central American locust)
Lineage: Eukaryota; Metazoa; Arthropoda; Insecta; Orthoptera; Acrididae
Gene name: dynein axonemal light chain 4-like
Exons: 4
Source: RefSeq, a predicted model, not a curated record
UUUACACAUGUUUGGUGCAAGUGUCGGCUGUUUGUAAAUAUUGACAUUGCGUGAGAAGUGGAAAGUCAUAAUGAGCGAGUCAGAAGGGAAGAAAGAAGAGGCAGAAACAAAGAAAAUUAUCCAUACGUAUCCAUUAGUAAGGCACUGCGAUAUGAUUGACGAGAUGAGAGGGGAAGCAAUGGAACUUUGUGUAACAGCAUGUGAGAAGCAUGCUGCGAACAACGAAUGAUGAAUCUUUUCUUUCCACUCGAGCUUUGAGUCACAGCUUAUUGUCUUCUCGACAACAAUAUGGCUGCUCGCAUGAUUAAAGAGGCAAUGGAUAAAAAGUUUGGACCAUCCUGGCAUGCUGUUGUUGGUGAAGGCUAUGGCUUUGAAAUAUCUUAUGAGUGCAAGAAUCUUUUGUACAUGUUUUUUGGUGGUAAUGUUGGUGUCUGUGUUUGGAAAUGCUCUUGAAUCUCCAUAAUAUACAUGUACUUGACUGACUGGUGGUGGUGGUGGUGGUGGUGGUGGUGUAGCCCUUGAUUUAUCAAUUGUGCAUGAAUAAAAGUUUCCGGCUGUCAACUUGUGGAGAGAUGAAGCGCUUACCAUUAAGCAAAACAGAGUAAUUACAAAGUGGAUUUUGCUAAUAACAGGAGAUGAGUGCCAAAAGAAUAGUCUCAAAACAGAAAUAUUUGUCAAUAGCACAAAUGGAAAAAUAUACUGAACCCCCACUUUUGGGCAUGGCAGCAAGAAUUUUAGAAUGAAAUGUAAGAAGGGGAAAAGUAAAGCAAAAAUUAAAAUGUGGCAUUUUGUUAGAAACAGUUACACUGAACGACUUGUUAUUUCUACACAGAUUAAUUUAUUCUCAUGCCACAUUUUUACUUUGUCUUUCUCCAUUACUUUUCCUUUAUAAGCACGUACUGAUCUCCUGUCUGGAUUGUUGCUGAUAUUUGUACCAGACUGCUUUGAGAGAAGAAAUAGUUUGGUGUGUGCAUGGUAUUAAAGAAUAUCUUUGUGAUAUCCUCUUUUUUAAGACAAUACAAAGAUAUCUAUCUUACAACAGACUUUUCCCUCCAUUACUGUUGCAACUUGUCUAUUAACUAUAGUUUCUAUCUUGUUGAAAACUAUUGCAGGUUUAAUGCAUUUAGCACACACUGUACAGAAUGAAUAUAUCUGCACUCUAUUAUUAUAUAUUAUUAUUAUUAUAUUAACAAUGGAAAUGAGUUACUUGUGCAUUAUUAACAGCAUUUGUUAACAGUACAAAUAUUACUCUUUUGGUACAGCCAUUUCAUUUUGUUCGCUAUGUUACUUAUAGGAGGCUGGUAUCAGUGCAUGAUCUAUGAAUAUAUUUUGGUAAACAGCAUAUUUUAUUUUACAUUUAUUUGUAAUUAUCCUUAAUAUUUACCUAUCAGUUAUGUUAUUGUUGAGGUAAUUGUAUGGUAAGGAUAUGUAAGUAUAUUUUACAUUAUGUAACUACCUGAUACAUUUUGUAUAAAUAAUUAUUUUCCUGUUGUGGUGAAAUUUUCUAAUGAAGCUCCUCCUGAAAAAGGUGGGGAGGGGAGAAAGCACAGGAAUGCAACAUUGCCUAAAGACAUAAGUUUAUAUGUAAGUGGUAGACAUCACAAGGAAAAUACAACCACAAAGUAUAAUGUACUGCAAAGGUAACGAAAGCAUUGAAUCUGCAAGGUAGUGAUUUUAUGUUCAAUGAAGAAGGAGGAAGCAUUAAUAAAUUAGUUUUUAAAAAGCAGAUAUGUUGCUGCAGUGCACAAAUUAGUAGCUCAUUAUGUCUUUAAUGUUGUUAUUAAUGAUAAUGGAACUUACUGGUUGGAAUAGUUAGAAAAAGAGCCAGAGCUUAAAUGCUUAUGUUACAUAAUCUCAUUAUUAAUACUUUCUGAAGCCAUAAAAUCUUUUCUUGAGAUAACAAGGCUGGUAUUGAGAAAGUAAGUUAAUAUGAAGUAAACCUUAAUCAUGCAGAGAUAGCAUUGAUUCAAUGAAAAGAAUAUAAUUUCCUCAAGGGUCUGAGUUAGCCUGUUACUUAAAUGUUCCAUGUACUUUGGAGAUGCAUGAGCAUGAGCAAUAAAAUUAUAUCAAGGGAUUUAAUGUUAUCAACAAACAAAGAAAAGUUUCAGCGACUGACGUGUACUGACUGUUCUGGACAUUGUCAACAUCAGCUGAUGGUGCUGUUCUGAAGAUGGCCUAAGACUAGGCCAAAACUGCUCAUUUUAAAUAAAAUAACCAUCACAAUUUAAACUGUUUUUUUUUUUCAACUAUUUUAUAAACAAAAUUUGUAUCUGUUUGAGAUUCAGAGUGCAAAAGCCCUAGAAGAUGGUUCUUGUGACAUGUAAGAUGUUUUCUUAUCUCACUGAUAUAUUGCCAUAUUUCGUAAGUGCGUUUUCAUGUUUGCAGUUAGAAAGAUAAAUCUUGAUACAAAGAGCAGCAGUCAAACAUCUUAGUUUGGUGUAGCUAUGAAAUAAUGUUUGAAGAAGUUGGUUUGGCAAUAAUUGAAUUGACUUUGUUAUUGUAUGUAAUGAUAGUUAGUUAAUAUGCUCAUUAUCAAAGCUGAUUUUCAUUACAAUUUCUUGUUAACAUUAUGACCUUCAUUCCUUCUCUUGUAUGUCUACUACUAUACUUGUGUUCUGUGUAAAGCUGCACAUUUUGUACAUGUUUAUGUGCAUAUUUUUAUAAGAUUUUAAAAGAACUGAAUCAAUUAGACAUUGAUUUGUUAACAUCAAGAAAGAGUGUAAAAUGACUGUCAACCAUAUAAGUGAAAGACUCUUAAGUUUUUCUAUGCAUAUAUGAACACAGGAAUAUGUGUCUACUCUCCUCUCCUCUACCCCACAUCUCUUGCAUAGAGACUUGUAUACUCCAGUGUUGAAGUCCAUGCAAGAGUAAUGUACAUCACUAAAUAUUGACUUCUAGGUGGAAAAAUGGAACAGAGUAUAUUAAUAUAAAGCAACUUUUGGGAUGCAAAUGGUUAGGAGAAAAAAUUGAUGAUCUUACAAGAAAGUGUCAGUGGAAGUCUCAGUGUUUUGGAUAGGUAAUGCUUCCCUUCAAUUGCUGUUCAUUCCAGAAAUCCAACAGGAUCUCCAGUCCCUUCUUAGAUUCUUAGGCCCACCCCAGAACCUCUCCCCUGAGUCUAUUUGUCUCUGCACCCCUGCCGCUCCCUGCACUCCUAUCAUCUACAUGCUUCCUGAAGUCCAUAAACCAACCACCCAGGAUGCCCUGUUGUGGCUAGUUACUGUGUCCCACUGAGAGAAUCUCUGUUCACUUGGACCAGCACCUUCACCCUUUGCCCAUAACGUAACAUCAUGAUAUGGACAGAGGGAGAGGACAUGCUCUUUACAUUCCUCCCAGAACCUCAACACCUUCUUCCCCAUUUGCUUCAUCUGGUCCUCAGUCGAACAGAGUCCACCUGCCUUAGUGUUGACUUCCACCUCAAGGAUGGCUACAUUGUCAGUGCCUCUGUCCAUAGCAAACCUACCAACCACCAACAGUACCUCCUCUUCGGCAGCUGCACCAAUUCCAUACAAGAAGUCCCUUCACAGGCUAGACACCCAUGGCCAUUGCAUCUGUAGUGAUGGGCAGUCCCUCUUGAAAUAUAACAAAUAAACAUAACAAAAUUACCCUCCCACUGUUGUAAUGAAACAGAUGUCCCAUGUCUUAUCUCUCCAAGUCACCUCUCGCAUUCCCACUGUGCUGCCACAAAGGAGCACUCCUCCCGUGACUCAGGGCCACCAAGGACUGGAGCAACUGAUCAUAUUCUCCACCAGGGUUUCAGCUCUGAAUUGAAGAACAUCCUACCCACUAUUUUCCCAUCCCUACUACACUGGUAUUCUGCAGCCCACCAAAUUUAGUAGGCAAUAUCGUUGCCCAUCCCUACUCCACCCCAGCUUCCAACCCCUUGCCUUAUGGCCUGUAUCCCUGUAAUAGAUCUACCUGCACGGCCUGUCCCAUACAUCCUCCCACCAGUAGCUACUCCAGUCUGCAUCUCUUAUUCCAUCAGAGGUAGGGCCACCUGUGAAAGCAGUCAUGUGAUCGUCAAACUAAGCUGCAACCUCUAUGCUGCUUUCUACAUGGGCAUGACAAACAACAAGGUGUCUGUGUGUAGGAGUGUCAACUGACAAACUGUGGCCAAGAGACAGCUGUAACUCAAGCACCACAUACUACACAGCCUUCUGUUGUACCAACGCACCCACCAAUCUUUUUUCCCCUCCUCUACUUGUCCCCUUCUCUCCUUUUUUCCACAUCCAGCAGCAUGACACUCUCUCCACUACAUCCCUGCACACUUCCACAAGUAGCAUUAAACUUCUCUCACCCAUAACCUCCUAUCCCUCCACCUCCUCACCCUCGCCUCCUCCAUACCCCACCACCCUCAUGAGAUGAGGCACUGCUGCAGUCCGCACACCGGCCUCAGUGGCCAGAAACAGUGACUGGGUGUCUGAUUUGUGCUUGUGAGAAUGUUUGUUUUCUAAUGCAGAAGAAGGCAUUUUGGCUGAAAGCCGGAAUGUAUGGCAGUCUUUUCAUUGUAGCUGUCUGUGACUCAGUGUCUCUUCUGUAGGGUGAGUAGCAAUGUAUUCUUUUCAUAAUAUUUUCAGCAUUUCACUUGUCUCGUACAUCUUGUGUGCUAUGUAGUGUACCAUGGCUGUUCUCCCAGGAAUAUCAAUGAAUUGGGGGGAAUGUUGUGUACUUCUGAUCCUUUUCCUUUAGGUUUACUUGGGUCUCAUAAUGAUCUGUCACAUUCUUCUUGCAGUAUUACAUCUGUCAAUUUAUCUUUAUCUACUUCCUCUUGCCUUUCCGUAAUACAAUCUUCAAUUUUCUGUCCUUUGUAUAGCCCUCCUUUAUUUGUUUGCCGGGAGAACUCUUGACAUUCACACAGCUGCUUUUCUCUAAACGUUUCUUCAUUUUUU